Molecule: ribosomal RNA, 253 nt
Filed under: uncultured bacterium
Lineage: Bacteria
Also listed under: 1 other name
Description: partial 16S ribosomal RNA
Rfam family: Bacterial small subunit ribosomal RNA
Source: RNAcentral
UACGGAGGGUGCAAGCGUUGUUCGGAAUUACUGGGCGUAAAGGGCGCGUAGGCGGUAUAAUAAGUUAGGUGUGAAAUCUUCGGGCUUAACCCGGAAAGUGCACUUAAAACUGUUAUACUAGAGUUCGGGAGGGGAAAGCGGAAUUCCUAGUGUAGAGGUGAAAUUUGUAGAUAUUAGGAAGAACACCGGUGGCGAAGGCGGCUUUCUGGAACGAUACUGACGCUGAGGCGCGAAAGCGUGGGGAGCAAACAGG